CAGUCGCCGCUGGAAUACGAAGGGGGCUAGCGUUGCUCGGAAUGACUGGGCGUAAAGGGCGCGUAGGCGGCGAUCAAAGUCAGGCGUGAAAUUCCUGGGCUCAACCUGGGGGCUGCGCUUGAUACUUGGUUGCUUGAGUGGGGAAGAGGGUCGUGGAAUUCCCAGUGUAGAGGUGAAAUUCGUAGAUAUUGGGAAGAACACCGGUGGCGAAGGCGGCGACCUGGUCCUUGACUGACGCUGAGGCGCGAAAGCGUGGGGAGCAAACAGGAUUAGAUACCCCCGUAGUCCCUGUCUCUUAUAC
Molecule: ribosomal RNA, 301 nt
Filed under: uncultured bacterium
Lineage: Bacteria
Description: partial 16S ribosomal RNA
Rfam family: Bacterial small subunit ribosomal RNA
Source: RNAcentral